Daphnia magna is the source of this 770-nucleotide long non-coding RNA. RefSeq lists it as uncharacterized. The transcript is spliced from 2 exons. The record is from RefSeq and is a predicted model, not a curated record. Lineage: Eukaryota; Metazoa; Arthropoda; Branchiopoda; Diplostraca; Daphniidae.
CAUACUAGGCUGGGCUGCACAUACCACGGUACUUUUUUUUGUGUUCAAUUUAAAAAUCAAUCGUCAUUUCUCGGACAGGUCCAAGGAUCAUCACGCGCACCUUUCGAACAAAGGUGAAAACGCAAUGCAAAAAACCCCAAUGUUUUUGUUGUUGAUAGGCACACAAAAUAGUUCAGAUGAAAAUGGUGUUCUCCGUGAUGGGGGCUCGCAUUUCGUCACGUUGUCCCGCAUGUAAUUGCAUGUGUAGGGUAAACAGCGUGCGGGAUUGUUCUUAGUAGGCUGAAGAAAUAUCCCGCAUCCAAGCACAAAGUGUAACAAACCAUAUAUGGGCAGUGCUACGAAGCACCGCUAUACCUCAGUCAUGGAAUUCUGUAAUAUUUCAUAACAAGCCAGCAGGAAUAAACCCUCGUAUUUCCGUUGAGUCUUCCCUUUUUUUCGGACCUUGACAGGAAAGUCAACAUGGUUUUUCCUGUCCUUUUCUCCUCUGAAGUAAUCAGCCAGCCGUGUAAUGAGGUUGAUCGACUACAUGGCGGACUUUCUGACCUUAUCUAAAUGAGGACAAUUGGAAAGGAGCCGCUAACUUCUACGCUUAUCUUUAAAACAAAAAAAAAUGUAGAGAUAUCAGGCUUUACGGGCGAUGGUGACACAACGGAAGUUGCUAGAUCAAAUGUUCUCGUGUUCCCAGUCUUCAUGUAUUACCGCACGUUGCAUCAGUAUAAAAUGUACAAGUGAAUCAUAGUAGUCUCGUGAAUACAUUCCUCAAGUAGCGA